This is a non-coding RNA of Elaeis guineensis (African oil palm), 2813 nucleotides long. Lineage: Eukaryota; Viridiplantae; Streptophyta; Magnoliopsida; Arecales; Arecaceae. The record is from RefSeq and is a predicted model, not a curated record.
GGUUCCCCUAGGCGACAACAGAGAGAUAGCGCAGGUCAGGCGAAGGAAGCAACUCCCUCGCUGGUGGACUAGAGGUGUUCCCUACGAGUCAUUCGCCGAUCAGAAUGUCUCAUUGCUUUCGUUUCAAAAGAGCUGAAACAUGUGGAAGUGAUGCAAGGUCGGUAACUCAACCGAGGAGAUGAUGAAGAAAGAGAGGAUCUCGUUUUAAAAAAGAGGAAAUGAUGCAAGGUCGGUAACUCAACCGAUGAGAUGAUGAAGAAAGGAUCUUGGUGCAGUGCUGGUUGACAUAACGGUAAUUUGGACCAAGUUCGGUAUUUGGUUUCUGUUCUAUUUUUAAUUUUCACGGUGCUACUGAAAAUAUGGUGCAGCGUUGCUUCCUUUAACCAAAUAUGAAUGAAAUUUUUGACCAAAAAGAGGGAAGAGGGUGAACGUAGUAUGGACCUUAUCAAUGAUGGUGGCUUGGAUGGAGGGAGGACUCUGAUGGAAGUGAUUAUGAAAGGAGAUGAUCAGGAGGAUCUGGGGUGUGGUGGUGGAAAGAGAUGACGAGAAGGAAGUAAGGAAUAGGAUAUUGUACGAAGAUAUACAAGAUGUAAGAAACUUUCCUUUGUUUAUAUACUGCUUAUUUUAGCAUUAUCCGUAGACAAAUCUCCAACCAAGGGGACUCUGUUGAGUUCAGGUGAAAAUAUAUUCUGUUCUUAUAUUUUAUUGUAAAGAUCUGAAAGCAAUAUAGUUUGCUAGUGAACUCAGUUUUAAUAUCACUACUGCAUUUGUGGUAAUGUUGUGGAUAAUAUUUCUUGAAGUUUUAUUCUUUUUCACUCUGUCACCCAAAAUCACAUAACCAGUUCUUGUUCUUCUCCAGUUUUAUUCUUGUUUGUACUUGUACAGUAUUUGCAUAUACACAUUUCAUUAAAUCCAUUGGAAUUGUGAACUAUAUUUGUAUCUGGAAGCAUUGUUUUUUCUUUUCUACACCUGAAUCUUUUAUUCUUGUCUCUGUGAAACUAAGGAGAAUUUGCUACUUCAGGCUUUUUUUUUUCCGAAGUUUCUUUUAUAUCAAUCUUGAGUUUUAUUUAUUUUUUCAUGGCUUCUUAGGAAGAAGCUUCAUAUUGCUUAUGAUCUCUGUUAGCUUAUUUGACCCUUUUUAAUCCAAAUUUCUUGAAGUUCUGUUCCUUAAAAACACUCCCUGCAGAAGUCAUAUGUUAGCUUGUUAGCCUUCUUCAUUCACUAUUCUUGUGCAUAAUUAUGUCUUCAAACCAUUAUUUGUCACAUAGUUUGUUCUCAGAAAGUGUUUGUUCUCGGAAAGUGGUUGUGUGGUUUUUGUUCAGCAUUAUUGCAUUUUUGUGCCUUUAGUCAUUUUUGCUACAAUUUUCCAUCCAUAAUCUGAUAAAACUAUUUCUGAGUUUUUUUUUUUGUUUGAAUUCUAAUGUUUUAUUGGACAGUCAUACUGGUAUGGGUAGAAAUCAUGCCUACUCUGCUCCACAUUGGCUUGGAGCCAAAGUCUUGGUACAUUUUCAAUUAUCUGGAAUUAAGACAGGAAUUGCUGUACUAAAACUCUGAUAGCUUACCAAAAGAAGAGGUGGUGUCUGAGUGUCCUGUCAUUAUUUACACUUACUGCACUCACAGCCUGCUCAAGCAAGUGCUUUAUGAACAGAGAACUAGCAAUUGCAGGUUAUAUGAGUUCCCCUCAUUUUAGGGAACUUAUACUUUAUUAAUAGUGAUAGAAUGAGCAACAAGUGCAUAUCACAUUGAUUGUUCUUCAUACAUGUUGCCUAUUCUGCUUUGAUUUUGUGGUUUUCUUGUGUGCUCAUGUGCAUCUUACAUUGGAUUAUCUGAUAACUCUAGUAAUUUUAGAAGCGAUAUUUUUUGUCAAUUCCUGCAUUUGUUAUAUAUUAUAAUUUUUUUAAGGCUGUUGAAGGGUUUUUGGAUGCUAAACUUGGUUUACGUUAUCAAAUUUAUCUUUUAAAUUCUUUCAUUUUGUCUUAAAUUUUGUAAGGCGGCAAUGCACCAAAUUAAUGUCUCCAGUUGAAUGUAAAUUUUGAAAAGUGAAUUCAAUGCAAGGAGGAAGCAUGUUGGUGUAUUGGUCUUACUACGUUUGAGCAGGAAGUGACGUGUCCUCAUCCUUGUUUAUAUUUUUUUUUAUUUUGACUCUUUUGUAGGGCUUACUCCAAAAUUGUGCAUUUAUAGAGAGUUGAGCCUUUUUUUACUUUGCUUUUUCUUUUCUAGUAGCACUUGAUUAACCGAGGCUUUUGAUUUAUGAUUAUUGUUAGUCACGAUUAGUGUUUGUGUCCAAUUUUUUUGCAUUGCUACAAACUUUCAAGGCAAAAAUAUCAGUUUGGGUUCUCUGGAGCAGAUGAGCAUCCAGAAUGCAGUGCAGAAUUUUCAAGGCACAACAAAAGACUCUGCCUGCCACUACCACCAAAAGAGAAGUUCCUACCUCUGUUACUCUCAUGAUUAUGGUACUUGCAAUGAACUCACAUUAUCAUUUUAUAUUAUCAUCGUGCUGCAAUUUAUUUGAAUCAAUGCUGUCUGUGAUUUAACUAUAUACUAGCAUUCUGAUAAUGCACUAAGGAGUUGCGGAUACAUAUGCACUCUUUCUGUCAUAUAUCCUUCAUGUGAUUUAGGGCAGCACGUCAAGUGACCUCUAACUCAUAUGAUGCUAGAGUGGAUGGCAGAUCUGAGCACCCAAGGGUGCCCUCCUGUCAAGGACUAUUUGAAUCAUAAAAUGGACUUAUUUGUAUUGGGACUUAUUAGCCUUCUGGUGAUAAUAAAUUACCUUUAUCAUUUUAAUGAAGAAUCGCACUCUAUGUUUGUUAAAA